UCUGAGGAGACUUGACUUGGCGUCCCCUUCCUGCGGCCAGCUCGAUGCCCCUUCUGAGGGGUUACCUCCUUCAGUGUUUCUUGAGGGGGCGGAGCAGGUGUUGAAGCCACAGAGGGGCGCCCUCGGUGACGGGCAGAUGAAGACCUGGCCCUCGGCAUCAUGGUGUUAAGAGUGUCCCGCUGGGGCAAAAUGUGCUUGAUGGCCUCUGUCUGCUGAACCGGCACCAUCAUUCGGAAGCUUGAUAGCACUAUGCCAUCUCAGCAUGACACGUGAGACAGCGACCGUAUCUAUUGUGAAAGGUAAGGAAAGUACCGCAUCUGGACGCACACGGUCGGAAAGACAUCUUGAAAGAUAUUCUUUACCGUGCAGUCUGUAGAUAUUUGCUCUUUUAGGCUGAUAUGCCAUGGGGAGGACCACAGCACUUAUCUAUGCUCAACAAGGCAAUCUCUCCGCUGAAUGCACAACAAGAUAAAUCACAGCCGAGAAAUUCCUGAGGAUCUUCUUUUCCUGUAGAAUCUUCCUUCUAAUUCAAAGAGAGAUGCACUUACGAAACAGUCGGCUCAGAAGCAAAAAUCUGAAUGAGUGGAUGCACGCCGCCAUCUUAUAAUUCAACUCGCCAAUUUCCAUAGGCCUUUUCUUGUAAUGCUUAGAGGUGAAGUGAGACCCCAAAUGUCAGUCAACGUAACAUUGAACGUGACUGACUGAAAGGAAACUCUUUUAUUUACUGUUUAGUGUAAGCGGCCAUAAAAGGUCAAAAGAGAAAUGUACCAUUUACUCGACAAAAAGGUUUGUUUAUUUUUUCUGUUUUAUGCAAAACUGAGAUAUUUUAAGAUGUUUUCACUUGUUAACAGAAAACUAACAUUACUCUUUUUUUCUGACUGUCGGCCGGAAUGCCGCCACAAUGCUGAUAACAAUGACUGUUUCUAGUCUGGAUGUCGUCUGCAACGUUGGAGGUAUUUUGGAGCCUUUUCUUGUGAAUGCCAUAGUAUCAAUGAUAACAUCAACUGGUUUGUGGUCAUGUUGUCUGCAUAUGAGGCGUACUGGAGUCUUUUCUUGUUAUUUCCGUCAUAGUGGUGCUAACAACAGGUUCAUUGAACCUUUGUGGCACCAGAUGUAGUGAAAGUCACAGAUCAGGUGGAAUUCUGGAAAGAGGGUGCAAAGAAAAAGCAUCAGCCUGAAUUCCAUCCUGGUGUUCCUCAUCGAAACACUUGUCAACUUUGACUGGCAAAAUUAUUUAAAUUUAACAGAACACCACAAACUACUUUUUGAACUGUAUUGUUCUAUUUUAUUUGCUUAUUUUUAUUUUGUGUAAAGCCUGUUUUGCUUUUCAGUAUGUGUAUUUUUUGCCACGAUACAGAGUCCCCAGGGGACUGUGGUGCAUGAUGGCCUUUUUUCAGCUAGUGCGUCCUAGAGGUCAGGAUUUGUAAAAGUUCAACAUUUAAAAAGAAUAUUAUCAGAACUAAGGCUCUAAGAACUAAGAACUGAGUUAUUGUGAUUUUUAUGGGGUUGGGUGGUAAAAAUCAUGAAUUACAGUACUGUACUGCAAACAUUUUUACAGUAAUUUACUGGUAAAUCUCUUGACAGUGCAGAGUUAAACUGUGUCAGAACAAAUUCAUCUUGAUAAUGCCAUCCUUCUGUUAGACUGUCUCACAAAUGAAUUAGGUUGAAUAGCUGUCUGCAGUCAGCUGUUAAAUUUAAGUACACAAUUAGAUAAUACCAAUUUAGGUCAAUCAAGCAAUGCUUGAUUUUAUUUAGUUUGUGGUGUAAAAAGGUCACAUUAGCAAUUAAAGAAAAAAACACUUCAAACAUGGUCAGGUCAAGGUAACUAAAUAAUUUUUGGUCCAAAAUUUUUAUCCGUUUUACUGGUAGUCCACUGUAUGAAGAAUUUUUGGGUAUAAUGUGUCACAGUUUACUUUCUUUUGCUAUCCUCACUUACAUAACUGAACUAUAGUGUC
Long non-coding RNA from Labeo rohita (rohu), 1955 nucleotides. RefSeq lists it as uncharacterized. Lineage: Eukaryota; Metazoa; Chordata; Actinopteri; Cypriniformes; Cyprinidae. The record is from RefSeq and is a predicted model, not a curated record. The transcript has 4 exons.